Molecule: long non-coding RNA, 1220 nt
Organism: Syngnathus acus (greater pipefish)
Lineage: Eukaryota; Metazoa; Chordata; Actinopteri; Syngnathiformes; Syngnathidae
Exons: 2
Source: RefSeq, a predicted model, not a curated record
ACGUGGAUAGUCAAUUCAUUGAGUGACGUGGCAUCAAACAAGUUGACGCAAAGAUGCAUGCAAAUGGCAAGAAUUCAGGCUCGACUAGUUUGUGGUUACCACGGAAAUCAAAAUAUAAACAAACCACUUCAGUGCUUACUUUAUAUGCGGUCAAAUUUGCCCCCCGUCAAUGUGUAAACAAAGCAAAGGGUGAACUACGAACCGUAACGGAUUCCAACCCCCCCGUCCAAAUUAGGCAGCAAAAAUGCAAAUGAUUCUCGCCUCCUGCCUUAGCGUGCUCUCAGAGAGCCAUUUUGGUACAAACGCUGCUGCGUUUCCAUUAGGGGAAGAAAAAAAGGGAUUGAUUGGUGAGUGCCAGCGAGGGAGGCAGGCGCUGUCAAAACAGCCGAGCUGGAAUUUAGUCAGACGCGCGCGCACGACGACUCCUGCGGCAUAUUUUGACAUGGGCAGAUUCACACCAGUGUUUCGCUUUGGGAGGUCUGCAAUCAAAGAAAACAAUGACUGUAGGGGGGGGGGGGGGGAGGAGAUGGCUGCAUCACCUCAGGAUGAAAUGGAACGAAAGCCUCCGAGAAGGGGCUCAGGCGAGCGUCUCUGGCUCGUCUGCACAAAUGACCUUUCUUUAUACAAACAAGCUGCUAAGAUCUCAAGCGACACCCGCGACAAUAACAACAAACGCGAGUGCUUUCGCCCGAGCGUGUUUUCGCUGCUCCGAAAGGAAAUUUCCAAUGACGAAAUUUUGCCUGGAAUCUUGAGUUGAGUAAUGAAAACGUUUGGGUGUCCGGUGUGAGGGAGGAGCACGUUGUCUUCCUCUUUUGUCCAAAAUCUCAAAUCCCUGCUGGGCACGGAAGAGAACAAGCCCAUAAAACUACGUUGGAUUAUCAGCCAGCGCACGACGACAAACGCACGAUCUGGUUAAGGCCGUCGCCGUCACGUGGGAGGUUGCAAAGACAAAAGAAAGACAGAAUUACACAAAAAGGGGCCAACCUCCAUCGCCACGGCAAACCUUCAUCCAUCCUACCCUGAGCUCAAUGCUGAAAAACAAAAGGUAAGGAAUGUUUGGGUAAAUCACUCAAAGAUGCCCUAUCUUCAUGCUGGCUUCCACCAACUCCAAACGUGAAUCCUGUACAUUUCUAUUCCGUAUGGAUAUUUUCCUAUUUCACAUCUGGAAAUGGAGAGCGGAAGCUAAAUCCCUCGAGUCUGAAAGAAGAGGCGCAAUAGGG